RNAcentral lists this ribosomal RNA (472 nucleotides) under uncultured bacterium. RNAcentral's name for it is "partial 16S ribosomal RNA". It matches the Rfam family "Bacterial small subunit ribosomal RNA", at positions 28 to 507 of the family's 1533-position model. The record is from RNAcentral.
GACGAACGCUGGCGGCGUGCUUAACACAUGCAAGUCGAACGCACAGGCUUGGUGCUUGCACUGGGUGGGUGAGUGGCGCACGGGUGAGUAACACGUGAAUAACCUGCCUUUGACUCUGGGAUAAGCCUGGGAAACUGGGUCUAAUACUGGAUACGAUAUGUCACCGCAUGGUGGUGUGUGGAAAGGCGUUUGUUGGGUUUGGAUGGGCUGACGGCCUAUCUGCUUGUUGGGGGGGUAAUGGCUCACCAAGGCGACGACUGGUAGCCGGCCUGAGAGGGUGACCGGCCACACUGGGACUGAGACACGGCCCAGACUCCUACGGGAGGCAGCAGUGGGAAAUAUUGCACAAUGGGCGGAAGCCUGAUGCAGCGACGCCGCGUGCGGGAUGACGGCCUUCGGGUUGUAAACCUCUUUCAGCACGGAAGAAGCGAAAGUGACGGUACGUGCUGAAGAAGCGCCGGCUAACUACGUG